UUUUCAAUUCAAUCUUUAUUCUUUGAUUUCUAAUUUUUUUUCUUGACUGUUUUGUUAAAGUUUUAUUGGUUUUAAAUUUUAUCCUUCAAUCAAAUUUUAUUUUAUUUAUUUUUUCAACUCAUCCCUCAUUCUUUUAGUUUCUUUUUUCUUUUGUAUAAGUUUUUUCUUUUCAAUUUAAACCUUCAAUUUUUUUUUUGAUGCCCUCUAAUUUAUUUUUUAUUUUGGUUUUCACUCUUGUUCUUUUAAUUUUAAUUUUUUGUGUGAUUGAUUUUGUUUUGAUUUCAUCUUUUGGUGUUUCAUUUGUUGGGGAUUGAACUUUAUUAUUUUUUCAUUUGGUAUGUUUCUGAUUUAAUGACAUAGGUAACGAGUUUAAAAAAUUG
Molecule: long non-coding RNA, 380 nt
Filed under: Populus trichocarpa (black cottonwood)
Lineage: Eukaryota; Viridiplantae; Streptophyta; Magnoliopsida; Malpighiales; Salicaceae
Description: long non-coding RNA (PTRI_LNC000188)
Source: RNAcentral